GCUUUCGUGGUGUAGCGGUCAGCACGCUCGACGCGCAUUCGAGAGGUCCGUGGUUCGAGUCCACGCGGGGGCA
This 73-nucleotide transfer RNA is filed under the name Stegodyphus dumicola. Its description in RNAcentral is "tRNA-Ala". It matches the Rfam family "tRNA". Rfam says of the family: Transfer RNA (tRNA) molecules are approximately 80 nucleotides in length. Their secondary structure includes four short double-helical elements and three loops (D, anti-codon, and T loops). Lineage: Eukaryota; Metazoa; Arthropoda; Arachnida; Araneae; Eresidae. The record is from RNAcentral.